AUCCUACGGGGGGCAGCAGUGAGGAAUAUUGGUCAAUGGGCGGGAGCCUGAACCAGCCAAGUCGCGUGAGGGAUGACGGCCCUAUGGGUUGUAAACCUCUUUUGCCGGGGAGCAAAGUGCCGCACGUGUGCGGUUUGGAGAGUACCCGGAGAAAAAGCAUCGGCUAACUCCGUGCCAGCAGCCGCGGUAAUACGGAGGAUGCGAGCGUUAUCCGGAUUUAUUGGGUUUAAAGGGAGCGUAGGUGGAUUGUUAAGUCAGUUGUGAAAGUUUGCGGCUCAACCGUAAAAUUGCAGUUGAAACUGGCA
RNAcentral lists this ribosomal RNA (305 nucleotides) under uncultured bacterium. RNAcentral's name for it is "bacterial SSU rRNA". It matches the Rfam family "Bacterial small subunit ribosomal RNA", at positions 335 to 638 of the family's 1533-position model. The record is from RNAcentral.